This 329-nucleotide unclassified non-coding RNA is filed under the name soil metagenome. RNAcentral describes it as "partial contains 5.8S ribosomal RNA, internal transcribed spacer 2, and large subunit ribosomal RNA". The stretch from base 1 to 120 matches the Rfam family "5.8S ribosomal RNA", at positions 35 to 154 of the family's 154-position model. The record is from RNAcentral.
GAUGAAGAACGUAGCGAAAUGCGAUAAGUAGUGUGAAUAGCAGAAUUCAGUGAAUCAUCGAAUCUUUGAACGCACAUUGCGCCCCUUGGUAUCCCGAGGGGCAUGCCUGUUCGAGCGUCAUUUCACCACUCAAGCCUGGCUUGGUGUUGGGCGACGUCCCCUUUGGGGACGCGCCUCGAAACGCUCGGCGGCGUGGCACCGGCUUUAAGCGUAGCAGAAUCUUUCGCUUUGGAAGUCGGGGCCCCGUCUGCCGGAAGACCUACUCGCAAGGUUGACCUCGGAUCAGGCAGGGAUACCCGCUGAACUUAAGCAUAUCAAUAAGCGGAGGA